CACACAUUUCACAUACACAUUUCAGGAUGUUGACAUGGGCCACUUCUUGCUGAAGUGUCAAGUGAGGGGCCAAAGCAAUAGAUUCAGGUGCCAGCAUGUUUAUGAAGCAAAUUCUCCCACGGGCAUAACUUACCAAAGGAAUGUGAGCAAACUAGUUCCAAGACUCGUUGACCCCUUCAGCCAGACGAGGUUACCAAAUGGUGUAAAAGUGUGAGCAGAGAGAGGAUUUGGGAAAGGUUUCUUUGGAGGGAGCUGUUGCUGUCCAAGCAAAGGAGGCAUCACAGAGGAUGCUCUCUGCUUCCACUCUAGUCUAACGGUGGUGAGAUCUUCCAUGGGACCGUUCACAGAGGUUGAAAUGUGUUCCAUGCAUAGGCUGGUGCCUAAUGCCCACCUGAGAGGGUGAAAGCAACCUGUGGCCACAAAAGAGAAGCGGCUGCCUUGGGAUGGAUGAGCACUGCUAGCGUUUGUCAAAGGAAGCAAGAGCUCCAGUGAUGACCUCACCCCUGCUUUUCCAAGACAAACCAAACCUUGUGCCUGCACCAGGUUCUUUGUACCUGUUCAUCCUCAUGUGAGAAAUGAAACCUCAUUAAAUUGGAGUCGGGAGGCCAAAAAGGGGAGCUCUCAUCGCUACAUCAAUAGCAGAGCCCAACGGGAAGAAAGACUUCCUUUUCUUGACCAGCAAGAACCUCAGCCAAUGAGAAACUGUCACAACUCAGCCAAUGGAAAGCCCCUACCCCUCAACCUCUUUGUUUACAAUUGCCCUCCCAACUUCCUCUUCCCCUGUAUGAAAGAGUUUCUCCUCCCUUGCUGCUAGGGGACUUGCACGUGGCUUGCCAUGGUUGCAGACCCCAAACUGCAAUUCUUUGCUGAUCCUGAAUAAACCCAUUUUUGCUAGAGAAAUAACUGGCCAUCUGUUUGUUUGAGGUCGACAUUUGGCUCCAGCAAAGACACCCAACGACUCUGAGACUGGUGAGCAAACAGAUUAGCCCUGAGCUAACUACUGCCAAUGCUCCUCUUUUUGCUGAGGAAGCCUGGCCCUGAGCUAACAUCCAUGCCCACCUUCCUCCGCUUUAUAUGUGGGACGCCUACCACAGCAUGGCUUUUACCAAGCGGUGCCAUGUCUGCACCUAGGAUCAGAACCAGCGAACCCCGGACCACCGACAAGCAGAACAUGCGAACUUAACUGCUGCGCCACUAGGCUGGCCCCAAAGCUUACACUCUUAAUUUUCUUCUGUCAAACAUG
RNAcentral lists this long non-coding RNA (1243 nucleotides) under Equus caballus (horse). RNAcentral's name for it is "lncRNA (ENSECAG00000058193.1)". The record is from RNAcentral. Lineage: Eukaryota; Metazoa; Chordata; Mammalia; Perissodactyla; Equidae.